This is a long non-coding RNA of Triticum dicoccoides, 467 nucleotides long. RefSeq lists it as uncharacterized. The record is from RefSeq and is a predicted model, not a curated record. Lineage: Eukaryota; Viridiplantae; Streptophyta; Magnoliopsida; Poales; Poaceae. The transcript has 3 exons.
GGAGAGUGUGUGGGUCCCACCCCACACACUUUCCCCAAUCCAGCCCGAGCUUGAAGAAGAGCUGCUGCCUCCCCACUCUCUCUCACCCCUCAAGCUCCCCCCUCAAAUCCUCUCCAAAAGGCAUGGCUUCAUCCGGUUCCAGGACGAGGCCACCGUGCGCGGACCAAGAGGACAUGCCGAAGACGUGGUUGGAGGCCAGUUUGGACAAGAAGAAGGAGAAGGAUGUGCCCACACCACCAUGUUGGUGUGGUGAUGUUUGCAAGCUGAAGGUGUCCACUGACCGCAACAAGUCAUGGACAGAAGGUAGAAGGUUUUUCGUGUGUCCCAACUAUGCACAUGAUCGUCGAAGGCCAACUAACGCAUAUGACAUACCACCGUCCCCUCCUCCACUUUGCAAGUACUUCACUUGGAUAGAUCACGAGGUACCAAAAGAUAUCCAAGAGGACCAACGUGCAGAUUGGUUACGG